This is a long non-coding RNA of Tympanuchus pallidicinctus (lesser prairie-chicken), 342 nucleotides long. RefSeq lists it as uncharacterized. Lineage: Eukaryota; Metazoa; Chordata; Aves; Galliformes; Phasianidae. The record is from RefSeq and is a predicted model, not a curated record. The transcript has 4 exons.
GGCAGAAGUCCAAACUUUGCAGUGCUCUUCCUUCAGAUAUUGGUUGAUGAGCCAGGAGAACAUGGUCAUUACUUCUGAACUGAAAAGCCAUGCAGUUGAGUUACUGCAUCAAUGUGGAAAAUCUAAGCUGACUCAGCAAUGAGAUCAUUCACUCUGUACUGCGCCCCUUUCAGAGGCGAUGAUGGUCUAGAAAUAUCUUAGUUCUGAAGAGAUAAAAUUGGGAUAAAAUGAAAUCAGGUUUGAAGAAGGUCAUCUACUUUCAGUGACAUUCUGAGGAAGCAUUUUUUAACCUUGGAGGUUGCUCUAUACCAGGAGUGAGGAGAAUAAAAGGAGCCUGGAAAC